GCUUAACACAUGCAGUCGAAGGUAACAGGAAGCACUUGCUGCUUUGCUGACGAUGCGGACGGGUGAGUAAUGUCUGGGAAACUGCCUGAUGGAGGGGGAUAACUACUUGGAAACGGUAGCUAAUACCGCAUAACGUGGCAGGACCAAAGAGGGGGCCUUCGGGCCUCUUGCCAUCGGAUGUGCCCAGAUGGGAUUAGCUAGUAGGUGGGGUAACGGCUCACCUAGGCGACGAUCCCUAGCUGGUCUGAGAGGAUGACCAGCCACACUGGAACUGAGACACGGUCCAGACUCCUACGGGAGGCAGCAGUGGGGAAUAUUGCACAAUGGGCGCAAGCCUGAUGCAGCCAUGCCGCGUGUAUGAAGAAGGCCUUCGGGUUGUAAAGUACUUUUCAGCGGGGAGGAAGGCGAUAAGGUUAAUAACCUUGUCGAUUGACGUUACCCGCAGAAGAGCACCGC
RNAcentral lists this ribosomal RNA (456 nucleotides) under Enterobacter hormaechei. RNAcentral describes it as "bacterial SSU rRNA". It matches the Rfam family "Bacterial small subunit ribosomal RNA", at positions 46 to 496 of the family's 1533-position model. Lineage: Bacteria; Pseudomonadati; Pseudomonadota; Gammaproteobacteria; Enterobacterales; Enterobacteriaceae. The record is from RNAcentral.